GCAUUGGUGGUUCAGUGGUAGAAUUCUCGCCUGCCACGUGGGAGACCCGGAUUCGAUUCCCGGCCAAUGCA
RNAcentral lists this transfer RNA (71 nucleotides) under Danio rerio (zebrafish). Its description in RNAcentral is "tRNA-Gly (GCC) (tRNA-Gly-GCC-47-1)". It matches the Rfam family "tRNA". From Rfam's summary of the family: Transfer RNA (tRNA) molecules are approximately 80 nucleotides in length. The record is from Rfam by way of RNAcentral. Lineage: Eukaryota; Metazoa; Chordata; Actinopteri; Cypriniformes; Danionidae.